Molecule: ribosomal RNA, 561 nt
Filed under: uncultured bacterium
Lineage: Bacteria
Description: bacterial SSU rRNA
Rfam family: Bacterial small subunit ribosomal RNA
Source: RNAcentral
CCUACGGGAGGCAGCAGUGGGGAAUAUUGGACAAUGGGGGAAACCCUGAUCCAGCCAUGCCGCGUGAGUGAUGAAGGCCUUCGGGUUGUAAAGCUCUUUUGUCAGGGAAGACGAUGACUGUACCUGAAGAAUAAGCCCCGGCUAACUUCGUGCCAGCAGCCGCGGUAAUACGAAGGGGGCUAGCGUUGUUCGGAAUUACUGGGCGUAAAGGGCGCGUAGGCGGUUCUUUAAGUCAGGAGUGAAAGCCCUGGGCUCAACCCGGGAAUUGCUCUUGAAACUAUUGAACUUGAGUAUAGGAGAGGUGAGUGGAAUUCUCAGUGUAGAGGUAAAAUUCGUAGAUAUUGAGAGGAACACCGGUGGCGAAGGCGGCUCACUGGCCUAUUACUGACGCUGAGGCGCGAAAGCGUGGGGAGCAAACAGGAUUAGAUACCCUGGUAGUCCACGCCUUAAACGAUGAAUGCUAGUUGUUGGAUAGUCUAACUAUUCAGUGACGACGCUAACGCAUUAAGCAUUCCGCCUGGGGAGUACGGCCGCAAGGUUGAAACUCAAAUGAAUUGACGG